Oncorhynchus gorbuscha (pink salmon) is the source of this 345-nucleotide long non-coding RNA. RefSeq lists it as uncharacterized. The record is from RefSeq and is a predicted model, not a curated record. The transcript is spliced from 3 exons. Lineage: Eukaryota; Metazoa; Chordata; Actinopteri; Salmoniformes; Salmonidae.
CCCAUCUCAGCUGGUACAGAGAGGGACGCAAGCUCUCCACCGCUGACGGAGUGGUACUGCUGCCAGGUGGGCAGGUACUCCAGAUUCCACGGGUCCAGCAGGAGGAUGCUGGGAAAUAUACAUGUCAGGCGGUGAACGAGGCAGGGGAGGACCGCAUGCACUUUGACCUGGAGGUUCUGGUCCCCCCAGUGAUAACGGGCCAGUUGGAUGAGUUCAUGGAGGAGAUAGGAGCAGUGGUGAACAGUACCGUGGCUCUCCACUGUGACGUGACGGGUCACCCAGAACCAGCCAUCUCCUGGCUGAGGGACGGCACACCGCUGCCCUCCGGACAACACCACAGCAUCA